GUUUCCGUAGGUGAACCUGCGGAAGGAUCAUUGUCGAGACCUGCAAAGCAGAACGACCCGYGAACCCGUCUUAACACCGGGGGNCNCGGGNCUNGUGCCCGUGCGCUCCCGCCCGCGUGCCGCGUUGGGCGUCCGCCCCUCGCGGNGCGUUAACGAACCCCGGCGGAAUCGCGUCAAGGAAACCCGAACGAGAGAGCUCGCCCCCGUCGCCCCGGACACGGUGUGCGCGGGACGCGUGGCCUUCUUUCAUUAUCUAUAACGACUCUCGGCAACGGAUAUCUCGGCUCUCGCAUCGAUGAAGAACGUAGCGAAAUGCGAUACUUGGUGUGAAUUGCAGAAUCCCGUGAACCAUCGAGUCUUUGAACGCAAGUUGCGCCCCAAGCCAUUAGGCCGAGGGCACGUCUGCCUGGGUGUCACGCAUCGUUGCCCCCAUCCACGGAUCCCGCUGCGGUUAUCGUGGNUGUGGGCGGAGAAUGGCCUCCCGUGCGCCGACGCGCGCGGUUGGCCCAAAGAUCGAGUUCUCGGUGACGCUGCCCGCGACGAUCGGUGGCGUUUGAAACACAACCUAGUGAUCCCGUCGNGCGGCGGCGUCCUCCCGGCCACGGACUCGCGGACCCUCGAGAGCGGGCGAAGGCCCGUUCGCAUCGCGACCC
Molecule: ribosomal RNA, 653 nt
Filed under: Protorhus longifolia
Lineage: Eukaryota; Viridiplantae; Streptophyta; Magnoliopsida; Sapindales; Anacardiaceae
Description: eukaryotic LSU rRNA
Rfam family: 5.8S ribosomal RNA (bases 261-416)
Source: RNAcentral